AUUGAACGCUGGCGGCAGGCCUAACACAUGCAAGUCGAGCGGAUGAAGGGAGCUUGCUCCUGGAUUCAGCGGCGGACGGGUGAGUGAUGCCUAGGAAUCUGCCUGGUAGUGGGGGAUAACGUCCGGAAACGGGCGCUAAUACCGCAUACGUCCUGAGGGAGCAAGUGGGGGAUCUUCGGACCUCACGCUAUCAGAUGAGCCUAGGUCGGAUUAGCUAGUUGGUGGGGUAACGGCCUACCAAGGCGACGAUCCGUAACUGGUCUGAGAGGAUGAUCAGUCACACUGGAACUGAGACACGGUCCAGACUCCUAAGGGAGGCAGCAGUGGGGAAUAUUGGACAAUGGGCGAAAGCCUGAUCCAGCCAUGCCGCGUGUGUGAAGAAGGUCUUCGGAUUGUAAAGCACUUUAAGUUGGGAGGAAGGGCAGUAAGUUAAUACCUUGCUGUUUUGACGUUACCAACAGAAUAAGCACCGGCUAACUUCGUG
Molecule: ribosomal RNA, 484 nt
Filed under: uncultured bacterium
Lineage: Bacteria
Description: partial 16S ribosomal RNA
Rfam family: Bacterial small subunit ribosomal RNA
Source: RNAcentral